GACGAACGCUGGCGGCGUGCUUAACACAUGCAAGUCGAACGGAAAGGCCCCUUUGGGGGUCCUCGAGUGGCGAACGGGUGAGUAACACGUGAGUAACCUGCCCUUGACUUCGGGAUAACUUCAGGAAACUGGGGCUAAUACCGGAUAGGAAUCCUUGCUGCAUGGUGGGGGUUGGAAAGCUUCGGCGGUUUUGGAUGGACUCGCGGCUUAUCAGCUUGUUGGUGGGGUAGUGGCUUACCAAGGCUUUGACGGGUAGCCGGCCUGAGAGGGCGACCGGCCACAUUGGGACUGAGAUACGGCCCAGACUCCUACGGGAGGCAGAAGUGGGGAAUAUUGCACAAUGGGCGGAAGCCGGAUGCAGCAACGCCGCGGGCGGGAUGACGGCCUUCGGGUUGUAAACCGCUUUCAGCAGGGGCGAAGCUUGUGGUGACGGUACCUGCAGAAGAAGCACCGGCUAACUACGUG
This 465-nucleotide ribosomal RNA is filed under the name uncultured bacterium. RNAcentral describes it as "partial 16S ribosomal RNA". It matches the Rfam family "Bacterial small subunit ribosomal RNA", at positions 28 to 507 of the family's 1533-position model. The record is from RNAcentral.